GAGCUUUCGGAGCUCGGCGUACCGCUCAGUAACACGUGGGUAACCUAACCUAUGCAGGGGAAUAACCUCGGGAAACUGAGUAUAAUGCCCCAUAGUCCACUACGCCUGGAACGGUGAGUGGAUCAAAGCUCAGGCGGCAUAGGAUGGGCCUGCGGCGUAUCAGGUUGUAGGGGGUGUAAAGUACCCUCUAGCCAUCUACGCGUACGGGUGUUGGGAGACAUAGCCCGGAGAUGGAUUCUGAGACACGAAUCCAGACCCUACGGGGUGCAGCAGGCGCGAAAACUUGACAAUGCGAGCAAUCGUGAUCAGGGAACUCCAAGUGGCUGGGGUAAGACCCAGUCUUUUCAUAACUCUUCAAAGGUUGUAGAAUAAGGGGUGGGUAAGGACGGUGCCAGCCGCCGCGGUAAUACCGGCGCCUCAAGUGGUAGUCGCUUUUGUUGGGCCUAAAACGUCCGUAGCCGGUUUGGUACAUUCGUGGGUAAAUCAACUCGCUCAACGAGUUGAAUUCUGCGAGGACGGCCAGACUUGGGACCGGGAGAGGUGUGGGGUACUCUCAGGGUAGGGGUAAAAUCCUGUCAUCCUGAGAGGACCACCUGUUGCGAAGGCGCCACAC
Molecule: ribosomal RNA, 613 nt
Filed under: uncultured archaeon
Lineage: Archaea
Description: bacterial SSU rRNA
Rfam family: Archaeal small subunit ribosomal RNA
Source: RNAcentral